Molecule: unclassified non-coding RNA, 345 nt
Filed under: uncultured fungus
Lineage: Eukaryota; Fungi
Also listed under: 1 other name
Description: partial contains 5.8S ribosomal RNA, internal transcribed spacer 2, and large subunit ribosomal RNA
Source: RNAcentral
AACGCACCUUGCGCCCCUUGGCAUUCCGAGGGGCACACCCGUUUGAGUGUCGUGAAAUUCUCAAAACCCUUUUCUUUUGGGAAAGGAUUUUGGACUUGGAGGCUUUUUGCUGGUUUCACCUCGAAGCCAGCUCCUCCUAAAUAAAUUAGUGGGGUCUGCUUUGCCGAUCCUUGACGUGAUAAGAUGUUUCUACGUCUUGGGUUUGGCAUCGUCCCUUGGACUCCUGCUUCUAACCGUCUCAUUGACAAUGAUGGUGUUCCGGUCACCACCGUUUCAUCGGUGGGAGGCUUGACCCACGAAAAGAACCUUGACCUCAAAUCGGGUGAGACUACCCGCUGAACUUAA